Non-coding RNA from Alexandromys fortis (reed vole), 462 nucleotides. NCBI's taxonomy places the organism in Eukaryota, Metazoa, Chordata, Mammalia, Rodentia, Cricetidae. The record is from the annotation of a RefSeq genome assembly.
AUGGAGUCACAGACACAGGUCCUCAUGUCCCUGCUGCUCUGGGUGUCGGGUGCCUGUGCUGAUAUCAUAAUGACCCAGUCUCCAUCCUCCAUGGCUGUUUCACCAGGAGAGAAGGUCACCAUCAGCUGCAAGUACAGUGAGAGUCUUUCAUACAGUAAAGAUCAGAAGAACUACUUGAACUGGUACCAGUGGAAACCAGGGCAUGCUCCAAAACAGUUAAUCUUCUAUGCAUCCACUCGGGAUUCUGGGGCCCCUGAUUGCUUCAUAGGCAGUGGAUCUGAGACAGAUUUCACUCUCACCAUCAGUAGUGUCCAGGCUGAAGAUCUGGCAGAUUAUUACUGUAUGCAAUCUUAUGAGUAUCCUCCCACAGUGCUUCAGCCUCCAACAAAAACUUCUGAGAAUUUCAACAGCUGCCUGCACCACAGGCUGCCUUGCACAUGUACACUUCUUCCUUCUGCCUAG